AGGAAGUAAAAGUCGUAACAAGGUCUCCGUUGGUGAACCAGCGGAGGGAUCAUUACCGAGUUUACAACUCCCAAACCCCUGUGAACAUACCACUUGUUGCCUCGGCGGAUCAGCCCGCUCCCGGUAAAACGGGACGGCCCGCCAGAGGACCCCUAAACUCUGUUUCUAUAUGUAACUUCUGAGUAAAACCAUAAAUAAAUCAAAACUUUCAACAACGGAUCUCUUGGUUCUGGCAUCGAUGAAGAACGCAGCAAAAUGCGAUAAGUAAUGUGAAUUGCAGAAUUCAGUGAAUCAUCGAAUCUUUGAACGCACAUUGCGCCCGCCAGUAUUCUGGCGGGCAUGCCUGUUCGAGCGUCAUUUCAACCCUCAAGCCCUCGGGUUUGGUGUUGGGGAUCGGCGAGCCCUUGCGGCAAGCCGGCCCCGAAAUCUAGUGGCGGUCUCGCUGCAGCCUCCAUUGCGUAGUAGUAAAACCCUCGCAACUGGAACGCGGCGCGGCCAAGCCGUUAAACCCCCAACUUCUGAAUGUGACCUCGGAUCAGGU
RNAcentral lists this ribosomal RNA (541 nucleotides) under Fusarium oxysporum. RNAcentral describes it as "eukaryotic LSU rRNA". The stretch from base 204 to 357 matches the Rfam family "5.8S ribosomal RNA". The record is from RNAcentral. Lineage: Eukaryota; Fungi; Ascomycota; Sordariomycetes; Hypocreales; Nectriaceae.